Loxodonta africana (African savanna elephant) is the source of this 2717-nucleotide non-coding RNA. NCBI's taxonomy places the organism in Eukaryota, Metazoa, Chordata, Mammalia, Proboscidea, Elephantidae. The record is from the annotation of a RefSeq genome assembly.
GGAACUGAGGACAUCAGACCAGGAGGCGCCCGCACCCCGUCUCUGCCUCUCCCGCCCACCCUGGCUCCCCUCAAAGCAACAGCUGGCUCCUUUCGGCUAGGGGGCGGGCUGUGGGAGGGGCUGUUUUUGUACAAAGCUGUAACAUUGUGGGGACAGGGGAUCCACGGUGAUUCAAACUUGCAGGAGGCCUUUACAAAAACCACUGUCUGCCCCACAACCCCCACCCCAUGUCUCUCCCAGGUCUCAGCCCCAGGGCAGCUGGCACAGAAUGCUGCCACCUCACCUGUCCGCAAGUCAGGCCAAGGCCAUGAGUCAAGGAAGAUAGGGCGCAGCUUUAAGGAGAAUGCCUCAGGGUGUCACAGAAGAAGGUUACAGGGACCCCUCCAUCCAACCCCAUUGGGACCACCACAGGCCUGCUUUCCUCCAUGCCCCCCGGCACUGUGCAAACACCCAAGCGUUCUUUGGAGAAGGCACUCGACUCACGGUGACGACCUGAGCAAGGUGACCCCACCCAAGGUGGCCGUGUUUGAACCCUCAGAGGCAGAGAUCUCUCGCACCCAGAAGGCCACCCUCGUGUGCCUGGCCACCAACUUCUACCCUGACCACGUGGAGCUGAGCUGGUGGGUGAACGGCAAGGAGGCCCGCAGCGGGGUCAGCACGGACCCCCAGCCCCAGAAGGGGUGCACUGGCGUCAGUGACUCCACAUACUGCAUGAGCAGCCUCCUGAGAGUGUCGGCUGCCUUCUGGCACAACCCACGCAACCAUUUCCGCUGCCAAGUCCAGUUCUACGGUCUCUCGGCUGAGGACGAGGACCAGUGGGACGAGGAAAACAAUGGGCCCCUGCCCGUCACCCAGAACAUCAGCGCCGAGGCCUGGGGCCACGCAGACUGUGGCCUCACCUCAGUGUCCUACCAGCAGGGGGUCCUGUCAGCCACUGUCCUCUACGAGGUCCUGCUGGGAAAGGCGGCCCUGUACGCUGUGCUGGUCAGUGCCCUCGUGCUGGUGGCCAUGGUCAAGAAGAAGGACUCCUGAAGCCAGCUCUGGAGGGGGGCCAGGAGAUUCUGGCCCUUCAUUAUGUCUAACAGGAUCCCCCGCUCCCCAUCUGCAGCCAGUGCUGAGAGGAGGAGUCCUCAUAUCCCCACUCCUCCUGGUACCCACCUAGUGCAUGUGCACCUGGGUGUGUGUCUCUGAGACUUCCUACCCGGGGGCUCCCUAGCAAGCCUGAACCCCAGUGGACCAAACCAAUAAACACGGUCUGCUUGGCUGUUCCUGGAAUGUCUGAUUUCUCCUCUGCCCUUCCCCAAACCCCCUGUCAUCUUCCAGCUCACCAGGAGGGGGUCACAAGGUAUUCACGGAGUGGGGAACCGACCCCCCCCGCCAUGACUGACACGGCUCAUCCUGCUCAGGAAGGUUAAUAAAGUGUGCGAGGUAGUGAUGGGAGCUGAGGAGGGCUGCUCCAGAACAGCCUAGAAAAGCAGGAUGCCAGACAGGAGUCUAUGUCCUGCCCUGCACAAAGGUGAUCUGAGGAAGAGCUGGCACAGGUGUGUCCCACCAACUGCAUGCCCGCAGGUAAAUGAAGCUAGUCUCCUGCAGCUCACCCCCUCUUUGCAGUUCUGUCGCCAAGUGCACCCUUUGUCUCCACAGUGCCCCAGGCAGGUCUCCCAGCGAGGGGCAGAAAAGGCGCUGACUGGGAAGUUUAUUCUCAAGGGCGGUUGUGUCUCCCAGUUACAGAAUCUCUCCCUGGUGUAUUGGACAGGCAUGAAAAAGCUCCCAACCACACCUGGAGGUGCAAGAAAUGAAAUUCCCUCCAGCCAAGGAUCAGCCCUAUCUCUGCGGCUAUCCAUUGCCUGGUUAUUAUCAUGGCGAUGCACUUGGAAGUCCUCAGGAAGGAACAUAGGACCCCCGGGCUGACCACCACUUUAUCUCUGCACCCCACCUCGCCACCUCCCCCUGAGCAGCCUGGUUUCAGGCCCCUUGACCAGCUACUACUCCUGGAAUGACAUCAUAUCCUUCUUCCUGGGGAACACCUGCCUAUCCUUCCAGAUUCGGCUCAGACACCCUUCUUCCAAGGAGCCUCCCCUGGCCCUUCCUUUCUGCCCCUUCCCACUAAGGUUGGACCAGAUGCCCAUUUGUUUUGCUGUCACAAUGCCCUGUGCGUGCCUCCUUCACGACCCUCAUUACACGUGGUGGACUUGAUCUCCCUACCUGCCUGACACCCCCGCUCAACCGUGAGCUCCUUGAUAACAGGGUGCUUUUGACCAUAGCCACCCCGGGAUAGAGCAGAGAACCUUGGUUCAGCACCAGUACUCCGUAAAUUAUCUCUGAAUAAAUGAAUGAACAAGCGAGUGAACCAAGGUGACUUCCCUCAGGAGCAGGCACCCCUGAGACCUUGCCAAAGUAGCCCCCUGCCCUUCCACUCAUAGGACCCCACCACCCAGCCUUGCCUUGGUACUGCAGGGCUCACAUGCAUUCAAAUAUAUACAUUUAUGUCCACAAACACACACACACAGCCAUUGAGCACAAGUCACCACAAUGUGUUAUCCCUGGCCUUCAAAAACACAAAGAUAUCCAAGUCACUGUCCCCAAGAAGUCUCCCUGUUCAUAGGGGGAACAGGCAUGGACAGAAGCCGUGAAAUAGAAGUUAGCUGUCUUUACAGCGCAGUCAGAAUUCCAGACAAGACAGAACUGUAGAGACACUGAAAAGAUCAGUGGUUGCC